UUUAAAAAAAAAAAAAAAAAACCAGUGCAAUGCGUGAGCAAAUAUCUAGUUUGUUUAUAUUCUUGUUUUCUCGGGGGCAUCUACUUUCCACUCCUUACAGUCACAUUUUUUAUGUGAAAGGAACAUUUUCCCCCAAUUUUUUUACUAAUUACUGGGCUACUUAACAGGAGGUAGUCCCUUCAGUCUAGAAAUGGCAAUAGGGCAGGAUGAAGUGGGGACAUGGAGCUGUUCCCCAUCUUCGACCUUGAGGGGAUCUCAGUUUCCUACUUGAAUAUAUAUUUUCUUCUUUGUUCAUUGCGAUAUUUUUAUUUUCAAUUUUAAAUGUACUA
RNAcentral lists this unclassified non-coding RNA (329 nucleotides) under Hevea brasiliensis (rubber tree). The record is from RNAcentral. Lineage: Eukaryota; Viridiplantae; Streptophyta; Magnoliopsida; Malpighiales; Euphorbiaceae.